CCCUGAAGGAGAUUUUCCUAGAUCCACUAAAUCUAUUUAAAAGAAAGCUUGUAGGCACCCUCAGUCUCAGGUUCAAGUUCAGUCACAAAUUGUAAGUGACCCUGGUCUCAGGUCCCUAUUCAGGGUGCCAAAUAUAGGCGAGACUGGAUCCUGAGCCCUACACUGCGGUGACACCCGUAGCAGACCCAUCUGGCCGGACUUGCUCAGGGACUUAGACCGCUACUUUGUUCUCCCUGACCGGGGGGCAAAUGAGGAUGAAUGACAGAGAGACAGCCAGCUUAACAGGUUUUAUCAACAUUAAGAGUAAUGAUUGUCUGACACAGAAACUGGGACUUGGCAAGAUCAACAGAUCUGACAUUUGAAGAAGGUCAGCCUAACUUGAAAGUUACAAAUCUUAACGGAAAAGCUGAAUGAAGCCUUGAUGUUUCAGGUCUGGAAGCCUUGAAAAAUGUGUUUCUCCAUAUUCUCUGGCAUCUUUGUUGUCCCUUGAAGGAAGCAGAAGCUCAGCUAAUGUGGGAGGAGAAAUAAGUCUUAAAACUUGAAUAGAGAAACACAACAAGGAAGACAUCCUACAUGCUGAUGAUCCUUGGAUGAGGGACAGAGGAAUUGUUUUCCAGGACCAAGAAAGAGUUUCUGACAUAGACCCUAUAAAGAUUUUAUUGGAACUAGUGGGCAGGUCCCAUACAUCCUGCUGAAGAGUUGCCCUGGAGAAUAUAGUGAUUAAAAUGACUGACAAAGUAGAUUUAAGC
This is a long non-coding RNA of Heterocephalus glaber (naked mole-rat), 749 nucleotides long. The record is from Ensembl. NCBI's taxonomy places the organism in Eukaryota, Metazoa, Chordata, Mammalia, Rodentia, Bathyergidae.